GCCGGUGUAGCUCAAUGGCAGAGCAGCCGCCUUGUAAGCGGCAGGUUGUAGGUUCGACUCCUAUCGCCGGCU
RNAcentral lists this transfer RNA (72 nucleotides) under Actinomycetes bacterium. RNAcentral describes it as "Actinobacteria bacterium tRNA-Thr". It matches the Rfam family "tRNA". From Rfam's summary of the family: Transfer RNA (tRNA) molecules are approximately 80 nucleotides in length. Their secondary structure includes four short double-helical elements and three loops (D, anti-codon, and T loops). Further hydrogen bonds mediate the characteristic L-shaped molecular structure. tRNAs have two regions of fundamental functional importance: the anti-codon, which is responsible for specific mRNA codon recognition, and the 3' end, to which the tRNAs corresponding amino acid is attached (by aminoacyl-tRNA synthetases). tRNAs cope with the degeneracy of the genetic code in two manners: having more than one tRNA (with a specific anti-codon) for a particular amino acid; and 'wobble' base-pairing, i.e. permitting non-standard base-pairing at the 3rd anti-codon position. The record is from RNAcentral. Lineage: Bacteria; Bacillati; Actinomycetota; Actinomycetes.